GUCUGGCCCAUUGAGUCGAUUCUGUGCGCGGUCCCUUCUCCUUCAUCCAUAUCUCCUUAGGUUCAUUACUUUUGCUAAUCAUGUGGCCUCGUUAGCUCAGUAGGUAGCGCGUCAGUCUCAUAAUCUGAAGGUCAUGAGUUCAACCCUCAUACGGGGCAUGGCACUCUUUUCCCAAACCUCUUCAGUCAAAAUUGGUUUUCGCCACUUGGACAUGAACAUGCGUCUGGCCCAUUGAGUCAAUUCUCCACUUGGCGUUCCCUUCUCCUUCAUCAAUAUUGCCUUACGUUCGCUACUUGUGUUAGGCAUGCGGCCUUGUUAGCGCAGUAGGUAGCGCGUCAGUCUCAUAAUCUGAAGGUCAUGAGUUCAAUCCUCAUAUGGGGCAUGGCACUCUUUUCCCAAACCUGUUCA
Molecule: long non-coding RNA, 408 nt
Organism: Hippocampus comes (tiger tail seahorse)
Lineage: Eukaryota; Metazoa; Chordata; Actinopteri; Syngnathiformes; Syngnathidae
Exons: 2
Source: RefSeq, a predicted model, not a curated record